AUGGAGACCGGGGAGGCGGCGGUGCCGCCCAGGGCGACCAGAGGGCGGAGGUACAAGGCGCUCACGCCGUGGCGCUUCCAGCGCGGCUUCGUCAGGAAGCAGGCCAAGACCCCCGCCGCCGCGCCCAGAGGCCGUGGCGGUGCGCCGGUGGGCGGUUCUGGCGCCAAGCGUUCCAGAUCGGCGUCGGUGGUGGGGAGCGGCGGCCGUAGCGCGGGAGAUCCGACGGACGGCCAGUCGAACAAGAGAAGCACGCGCAGUGCGACCAUGAAGAGGCCCGAUGGGGAGAACAGCGCUCGCAGCGCCGGUGCUGGAAAGGAUAGCCAGUUGAGGAGAAGCACGCGCAGUGCGACCAUGAAGAACUCCGGUGCUGAAAUGGAUUGCCUGUUGAGAAGAGGCACACGCAGUGCGACUGCCAAGAACUCCGAUGGGGUUAAAGUGGAGAACAGCGCCUGCAGCGGUGCCGGAAAGGAUUUCCCGUUGAAGAGACACACACGCAGUACGGCUGUGAACAGCUCCCAUGCUAUUAAAAUGGAGAACGACUCUCCUAGCAGUGCUGGAAAGGAUUCCCAAAUAAAGAGAGGCACACACAGAGUGACCACGAGGAGCUCCAAUGGGGAGAAAAUGGAUAACAAUGCUCGCACCGGUGCCGAAAUGGAUAGUGGUUUGGGCAAGUCCAGCUGCAAUAUUAUGGGUGAUGGGUUGGCCAACGCUGCUGGAGGAGAUUGCUGUUUUGAGAGGCCAGACUACAGCGGUGUCCUGAGAGAUGAACAUGUCCAGAAUUUUCGGACUGGUGGCAGCGUUGGUGCUGGUGAUGGGGCAGCUUGCAUCCCAGAGGGGAUUCAGAGUAAUGUAGGAGCUGAGAACUGUGAGUCUGAGGGUUCGAAGAAGUCCCGUGUGACUGGGAAUAGGUUAAAGAGCAACGUUUCUUCUGCUGCAGAUCAUGUGCUGGAGCAGCCGGAGGGAAAAGGUGCUAACACGGGAAAUGGGGCUUCCAAGGAGAGUGAUGUAGCAGCCAAAGGGUGCAGCUCUGCAGUUCCUGGAAGCAAUGCUAAUGACCCAAAUUGCCGCAGAGGGCGGAAAGCAAUAGUGCCAUGGAGGUUCCAGAUCGGGUACAAGCGGUCAUUCUCGAAAGCUUUCUGCUCUAAUGGUGGAUCACUUGAAACUCCGGAAUACAGGGCUCAGGGCAGCUCAACACAGUGCACUCCAGGAACUAGAAGUACUGUGAGGUGCUAUGCUAGCCCCCUUUCAAAUGUUCGAGUUUCGGCCGUGCGUGAUUUCUCCUCAGGGAAAGGCGAGAAGGAAACCCGAACAGCAUAUAAAAAGGUGAAAACUGAGAAGGAUGAUGAUAAUCAGGGAAUGCCAAAAAAUGGAGUUGCCCUUGCUAGGGAGAAAGCCAUCAGAUCCUUGCAGGAUUUCCGCUUAAUUUACAAGAAUCUUUUGAAUAAACUUGAAGACAGGUCACGGGAAGGAGGAGCCGAUCUACAAGCUUACAAAAUCUUCAGGGACAGGUUCCUUGCACAGUGUAAUGACGAGAGAUUUGUUGGCAAUGUGCCUGGAAUCCAUGUUGGUGAUAUCUUUUAUGCAAGGGUUGAGCUUUGCAUUAUCGGUCUUCAUCGCCCACACCGGUUAGGGAUUGACCAUAUCAGGAAGGAGGAUGGUACUUGUAUAGCUGUUAGCAUCGUGGCAUAUGCACUUCUUUCUGAUGUCAAGGAUAAUUUUGAUGCCUUGGUGUAUUCUGGAUCAAGGACAGCUACAAUGAAUCAGAAGAUAGAGAGUACCAAUCUUGCACUGAAGAAGAGCAUGGAUACCAAAACACCAGUUCGUGUCAUCCAUGGUUUCACCAUUCAUGCUAAGAAGAACAGCCAGCGGAAGAGUAUUCUUGUAUAUGGGGGUUUAUAUCUAGUUGAGAAAUACUGGAGGGAGAAAGAAAGCGAAGAUCGUUAUGUUUAUAUGUUCCGAAUGAGAAGAAUGGCAGGUCAGAAACACAUUGACAUUGAAGCAAUUAUGAAAUCAGAACAGGCUGAGCCAUAUGAUGGUGUUAUAAUGAAAGAUAUAUCCCAAGGGUUGGAGAGGAUCCCGGUAUCUGUUUUGAACUCAAUAUCUGAUGAGCAUCCGAUGCCCUAUAUCUACAUGUCUCGCCUGAAAUACCCCCCUAACUAUCAGCCAGCUCCUCCAGCAGGCUGUGCUUGUGUAGGCGGGUGCUCGGACUCUAAACUGUGUGCCUGUGUAGUGAAAAAUGGUGGGGAGAUCCCUUUCAAUGAUAAAGGCUGUAUCAUAGCUGCAAAACCUCUUGUUUAUGAGUGUGGACCUUCUUGCAAGUGUCCUCCUACAUGUCAUAACAGAGUCGGCCAGAAAGGCAUCAAAUUUCGGCUGCAAGUGUUCAAGACCAAAUCGAUGGGUUGGGGCGUGAAGACUCUCGACUAUAUACCAUCUGGAAGUUUCGUCUGUGAAUACAUUGGGGAAGUGCUGGAUGAUGAAGAAGCACAGAAAAGGAUGACUGAUGAGUACCUAUUUGCUAUAGGGCAUAAUUAUUAUGAUGAAUCCCUUUGGGAGGGCCUAUCAAGAUCUAUACCCUCGCUUCAGAAUGGUCCGGGUAAAGAUGAAGAAGCUGGUUUUGCUGUUGAUGCAUCAAAGAUGGGGAACUUUGCAAAAUUUAUUAAUCAUAGCUGCACCCCCAACCUCUAUGCACAAAAUGUUCUCUAUGAUCAUGAUGACAAGAGUGCUCCUCAUAUCAUGUUCUUUGCCUGCGAAGAUAUUCCACCCGGUCAAGAGCUAGUAUACCACUACAACUAUGCCAUAGAUCAGGUUUAUGAUGAGAAUGGUAACAUCAAGAAGAAGAAAUGCCUUUGUGGCUCUGUGGAGUGUGAUGGCUGGUUGUAUUAG
This 2883-nucleotide ribosomal RNA is filed under the name Triticum aestivum (bread wheat). RNAcentral's name for it is "partial small subunit ribosomal RNA". Lineage: Eukaryota; Viridiplantae; Streptophyta; Magnoliopsida; Poales; Poaceae. The record is from RNAcentral.